Molecule: ribosomal RNA, 456 nt
Filed under: Sceloporus siniferus
Lineage: Eukaryota; Metazoa; Chordata; Lepidosauria; Squamata; Phrynosomatidae
Description: partial 16S ribosomal RNA
Rfam family: Bacterial large subunit ribosomal RNA
Source: RNAcentral
UUUAACGGCCGCGGUAUCCUAACCGUGCAAAGGUAGCGUAAUCACUUGUCCUUUAAAUAAGGACCCGUAUGAACGGCUAAAUGAAGACUCAUCUGUCUCCUUUAACUAAUCAGUGAAACUGAUCUAUCAGUACAAAAGCUGGUAUAAAACCAUAAGACGAGAAGACCCUGUGGAGCUUUAAAACCUACACCAAGACCAAAUAACCCACCAUAGCAUAAUGGCCUAACGUUUUAAGUUGGGGCGACUUCGGAACAAAACAAAACUUCCGAGCAUAAGACAACAUCUCCCUAAGACCUACAAGUCAAASCAAAACUUGACCCAGUAAAACUGAUAACCGAACCAAGUUACCCCAGGGAUAACAGCGCAAUCUUCUUUAAGAGUCCAUAUCGACAAGAAGGUUUACGACCUCGAUGUUGGAUCAGGACACCCAAAUGGUGCAGCCGCUAUUAAAGGUUC